Molecule: long non-coding RNA, 368 nt
Organism: Anguilla anguilla (European eel)
Lineage: Eukaryota; Metazoa; Chordata; Actinopteri; Anguilliformes; Anguillidae
Exons: 2
Source: RefSeq, a predicted model, not a curated record
UUAAGAUGCUAGGAACAGAGAAUUCAGAGCACCCCAUAGACUGCAGUGCCCUACGAAGCACGACCUGCUCCUGCUCAUAACUGGGGCAAGUCUGGAAUGUUAACAGACUAAGCAAUGAUGCAAUGGAGUCGGAACAGAUCACAACCUUAUCUGGUACUACCUCUUCUACCCACCCAAGUGUCAUCUGGAUAGCUACCAUCUCUGCAGUAUACGCCGAUGUCCCAUCUGUAAGACGCCCACUGUCCCCUGUAUUAAAAUGUGGCACAUAAAAGGCUGCUCCUGUACGUCCUGCCUCUGGGUCUCUUGAGCCAUCCAUGUACACUGGAAGAAAUGCAUAAUGGGUAGUUCUAAUAUAUUCCUGGACUUAG